UGUAUAAAUAUUCCGGGCCACGCAUAACUGUGCUUUCUCUGGGCAAAAACCAAAACAAAACAAAUUUCGCAUAGAAAAGUGUAUUUUUAGAGUAUUAACGUAUCGGCUAUCAGGAGGAUGCAUGUAAGAAAGUGCUCCCCAGCGUGGGGGGACUAUGCUAUUUUACGAGCUGUAUUUCACAUUUUCACAGGUCACCGCCACGCACACAAUCACAAAUAGACACGCACACGCAUACGAAUACGCACAUAAACACAUUUGUCCAAGGGAGCGCGACAAUUGCCUGAACGGCGCGGCCGGCCUUGUGGGACAUUUUGCAUGGAGCAGAGGAUGCGAUGCGAUGCGAUGCGAUGGUCCGGCACUGGAGGAGGAAACCUAAUGAGCGCGUACCGCCCACGCAAUGAAACGGGCCAGAGACACACACACACACACACACACACAUACUAGGCAAUUUUGGGCUGCUGUCUCGGAUCUCGGGAGCCCUCAUAUCUGUGGUUUUCAUGGAAUCAACUGACCAGAAUGGUGUACUCUGGCCUUCUCAGCCAAGUUACACCUGCAUCUGCCUGGGGAUUUAUUCGACAUCAACCUAACAAAUUCCGAUAUGAACCAUCAGGCAUAUCUGUCAGAAGAUGCUGCGCGAGAGAGGAGGGAUGCUGCUACAGGAUGGACUCUGAUGUGCAGAUGGAUACAGGAUAGCAGAGAGAGCAGACACACGGAUACACUGAGACAAACAAACUUUAAGGUGGCAUUCAUUUCGAUUCGAAAAUGGACUCCUUCCUCGCGCGAGUAUUUUCGGGCAGUGUAUGCCUGGUUCCCCCUCGCGGCGUGGUGGCCCCGCAUGUUACGCAUUUCCUCUUGGGAUUCCAGGGCAUUGGGCGCUGUUCUUUUGAUAUUGUAAUGUGCAUAAUAGGAUUUUUAUGACACCUUUACUGUGGGGGCGGGCGGGCAUCAGGCAUCGCCAAUGGCACCAAUGGCUGCUGCCUCGCCUAAUCGCCAGAAGGACUGGCAGACUGGCCCCCUGUUUCCGCUGCUGAUGCUCUCCUUCUUGUCACCAAAAAGUUGCAAAUUUUAUUGGCCGGAUGUGCGGAUGUGCGGAUGUGCGGCAGCGGCAUGUGGAUUGUGGAUUUGCAUCAGAUCAUGAAUUUCACACGAUGGUAAUGGCCACAUUAGCAUUGACUACACGCAUUUAUGGCCCAGACCACACCCCAACCCCCAACCCCACCUCCAUUCUCCGGCCCAGGGGUAAGGUAAGUGCAUGUGCUAAAUUUUUAAUAUGCAAAUUUCGUUUCAGGGCUGCCGCCUGUGCGCUCACCUUUCGCAUUUCAUUUACACUUGUGCUGCAUAUUUUAUUGUGUUGUAUGUACACGGCAUUAUUGCACACAAAUGGCCAGUUACAUAUUAAGCCGAACAAUAACCGCCGACUGUGUUGUCAGGACUCUGGGGGAAACCCGGAUGUGGAUGUGGAUGCGAAUGUGGAUAUGGGUCCUCCAGAUGGCUGGCAAAAUGCCAUUUGAUUCGAGCGACACUUGGGGCUGUCUCUGUCUCCUGCUCCUGCCUCGUUGCGCAUCGUUUGGGAGCCCCUCCUCUCUAAUGGCUGUACGGAAUUAAUUUUCCAAAACCUUUUGAAAGGUGUCGCCUCCAUGCAAUUCCAAGGAGAUCGAUAAGUCCAGGGAGAGCUAAAUUGUGGAUUUACAUUGAGAGGCCACAGUAAAUCAUCGUUCUGCGAGUACGAGUAGUAUGUGCCUGGAAUGAGCCGUCGAAAAUCAAUAGCGUGAGACACUCCAGACAAAGCCAACAGGAGGCAACCCUUUCAAUCAGCAGCAUCAGAUGUACGACGAGUAUUCUCCACGCGUCGAUGGCCAUCAGCAGCCCCGAGGACACGGACACGGACACGGACAUGGACACGGACACAAUGCGAUGCUAUCGCAGAUCAAGUUGCUUUAACCUCCCCAUCAAUUAAAGUAAGAGGCUUUUUCUUUAUUUUAUCUAUUGUGGCUUUUGGUCCAGCUGUUGGCUGUAUUUGGUUGAAUUUUAAGUGAAAUUUCAAUAUUUAUAAAU
This 2055-nucleotide small RNA is filed under the name Drosophila pseudoobscura pseudoobscura. RNAcentral describes it as "GA31912". Lineage: Eukaryota; Metazoa; Arthropoda; Insecta; Diptera; Drosophilidae. The record is from RNAcentral.